Molecule: long non-coding RNA, 560 nt
Filed under: Bos taurus (domestic cattle)
Lineage: Eukaryota; Metazoa; Chordata; Mammalia; Artiodactyla; Bovidae
Description: long non-coding RNA NONBTAT004724
Source: RNAcentral
AAAAAUUGAACAGAGAAGGCAGAGCAUGUUAUAUAUAUAUAACUGCAUUUAAGCAGUACCAAACUGAAAACUGAAAAAAAGGUAACAAAUGUUUUGAAAUAUACUUAAUAAACUUUCAAGAAAGAGCAUUGUUAUAAGGUGAUUUAUACAAUUUCCAUAUGGAAAUAAAGCUGAAAAGAAUUGUAUAAUAUUUUUAUAAGAGACUCACCACUUACAAUGCCUCAUCCUACAUCAGUAAUUAACUCAGGUUUGAUAGUCCAAAAAAAGUGAUCAGUUAAAUGAUUACUUACUUAUAUGUAUCUAAACUAAGUCCAGUUAUGAAAUCAGUAUAAUACACUGGUUAAAAACUGCUUCUUUUUAUGCUUUAAGGAAAAUGCAUUUCAUAUUGGAGUUUAAAGAUAUUGAAAAUUAAGUUACUUAAGGCAGGUUAACAUGUUUAAAAAGAAAGAAGGAAAAAGUACUCUAUGAUAUGGUUACUAAAAUUUUAAUCCUGAUAUAAUUCAUUUCUCUUACAUUGAAUCCCCAAUCAUAAUUAAGCUGUAUACACAGAUUAAAUUAAC